RNAcentral lists this unclassified non-coding RNA (302 nucleotides) under uncultured Sordariomycetes. RNAcentral's name for it is "sequence contains ITS1". The stretch from base 1 to 105 matches the Rfam family "5.8S ribosomal RNA", at positions 50 to 154 of the family's 154-position model. Lineage: Eukaryota; Fungi; Ascomycota; Sordariomycetes. The record is from RNAcentral.
GAAAUGCGAUAAGUAAUGUGAAUUGCAGAAUUCAGUGAAUCAUCGCAUCUUUGAAUGCACAUUGCGCCCGCCAGCACUCUGGCGGGCAUGCCUGUUCGAGCGUCAUUUCAACCAUCAAGCCCCCGGGCUUGUGUUGGGGACCUGCGGCUGCCCGCAGGCCCUGAAAACCAGUGGCAGGCUGGCUGUCUCCCCGGUCGUACUAGUAUCAUCUCGUCCAGGGCGUGACUGCGGGCUACGGCCGUUAAACCUUCUCACAUCCAAAGGUUGACCUCGGAUCAGGUAGGAACACCCGCUGAACUUAA